GACGAACGCUGGCGGCGUGCUUAACACAUGCAAGUCGAACGGAAAGGCCCUGCUUUUGUGGGGUGCUCGAGUGGCGAACGGGUGAGUAACACGUGAGUAACCUGCCCUUGACUUUGGGAUAACUUCAGGAAACUGGGGCUAAUACCGGAUAGGAGCUCCUGCUGCAUGGUGGGGGUUGGAAAGUUUCGGCGGUUGGGGAUGGACUCGCGGCUUAUCAGCUUGUUGGUGGGGUAGUGGCUUACCAAGGCUUUGACGGGUAGCCGGCCUGAGAGGGUGACCGGCCACACUGGGACGGAGAUACGGCCCAGACUCCUACGGGAGGCAGCAGUGGGGAAUAUUGCACAAUGGGCGGAAGCAUGAUGCAGCAACGCAGCGUGCGGGAUGGCGGCCUUCGGGUUGUAAACCGCUUUCGCCUGUGACGAAGCGUGAGUGACGGUAAUGGGUAAAGAAGCACCGGCUAACUACGU
This 467-nucleotide ribosomal RNA is filed under the name uncultured bacterium. RNAcentral's name for it is "partial 16S ribosomal RNA". It matches the Rfam family "Bacterial small subunit ribosomal RNA", at positions 28 to 506 of the family's 1533-position model. The record is from RNAcentral.